Molecule: long non-coding RNA, 557 nt
Organism: Panicum virgatum (switchgrass)
Lineage: Eukaryota; Viridiplantae; Streptophyta; Magnoliopsida; Poales; Poaceae
Exons: 2
Source: RefSeq, a predicted model, not a curated record
GGGGGAGGCGGUGGUGGGGCAGGCCCUGGCGGCCGUCCCUAUCUGGAUCCUGGAUUUUAUAGGCGAGAGUGGAGUGCGCGCGUCGCCGAGCCUGCCUGCGCGCGUCGCCGAGGUGGGGAUGGGGCCAGAGGUGGUGCCCCGCGGAAACCGUCGUCGUGGCGGCUCGCGCGCGCCCUGACUCGGGCCGUGGGCCGCGGCUUUCCUCCCUGCGGGGUGGGCCCGGGCCGGCGUGCCGCCGCCUGAGUUAUUUCAGUACCUUCCAUGAUGUGGUCAUUGCUGGUGGUGCUACUAGUGUUCUUUACAGUGUUGCUGGUGUUAUGAAACAAUUUGGCUGUCCGUUUCUACCCAAGAUCCAAGCAAGGCUGUGUCUUUUGUCGUCGUUGUUUAGAUCAAUAAUUAGUAUCUUGUGUUGCCUAAGAAUUUAUUUAGUACCACUGUUGUUUAAUUUAUUUGCUAAGACUAUUGUAAUGCUUAUUGUUGGUGUCAUGGUGAUAUCUGCAAGAAUGGUAUCUACUAGUUAAUAUGAACCAUGUUUUCUAAAUCUGAUGUGUUUGAUA